AUGAACGCUGGCGGCGUGCCUAAUACAUGCAAGUCAAGCGAACAGAUGAGGAGCUUGCUCCUCUGACGUUAGCGGCGGACGGGUGAGUAACACGUGGAUAACCUACCUAUAAGACUGGGAUAACUUCGGGAAACCGGAGCUAAUACCGGAUAAUAUAUUGAACCGCAUGGUUCAAUAGUGAAAGACGGUUUUGCUGUCACUUAUAGAUGGAUCCGCGCCGCAUUAGCUAGUUGGUAAGGUAACGGCUUACCAAGGCAACGAUGCGUAGCCGACCUGAGAGGGUGAUCGGCCACACUGGAACUGAGACACGGUCCAGACUCCUACGGGAGGCAGCAGUAGGGAAUCUUCCGCAGUGGGCGAAAGCCUGACGGAGCAACGCCGCGUGAGUGAUGAAGGUCUUCGGAUCGUAAAACUCUGUUAUUAGGGAAGAACAAAUGUGUAAGUAACUAUGCACGUCUUGACGGUACCUAAUCAGAAAGCCACGGCUAACUACGUG
This 496-nucleotide ribosomal RNA is filed under the name uncultured bacterium. RNAcentral's name for it is "partial 16S ribosomal RNA". It matches the Rfam family "Bacterial small subunit ribosomal RNA", at positions 29 to 507 of the family's 1533-position model. The record is from RNAcentral.